Molecule: long non-coding RNA, 799 nt
Organism: Vicia villosa (hairy vetch)
Lineage: Eukaryota; Viridiplantae; Streptophyta; Magnoliopsida; Fabales; Fabaceae
Exons: 2
Source: RefSeq, a predicted model, not a curated record
UUGGGAACUUAGGGUUCCUCAUAUGACGAUCCCAAUUCUUAGAACCUAUCAACUCUCUUUCUCCUUCUCACGAGAAUGCGCCUCCGAGGACCUAACUUCACCGUGAACCACCGUUCCACUUUGAAUCAACGAGUUCUAAACACAAACUCAACCUAAAAUCACGCCCUGAACAUGAAUUCGCAGUCAAUUUCUUAGAAGGAAAUCUCAUAUGUCCGAAUCGGAAAGAGGAGAAGACGAACCCUAACUUCUAACGGUCAAUUAUCCGAACGGAUAUUAAGCAAUUUGAGGCAUAAAUCACAUUGCAGUUCUCAGCAUACACACGAAUUUGUAAAGAAAACAAUCAAAAGGAACCUGAAUCAAAGACUAAUCGCAGAAGAACAGAAGGCCAGAGGGGAGGCUCCUUCGUCAGCUCUCUACGGUGCGAAAUAAACGCAGGAACACGUCGAGUUCUUCAGGUACAGGGCAGCCAUAGUGGAUGUGAAUGAUGGAGUAAGGGCAUGUUUGUAUGGUCCUGAAAAACACAACAUGAAGCUUAGAAGAUAAACUUGCAGGAUGGUAUCAUGAAAGGCAAAGCAAGCUUGGAGAUUAGGAUUAGGAAUUGUCACUUAAUUAAUUCUAGAAGUUUGGUCUUUUUAUGGUGAAUUUUGUAAAGAAUGGGUAAAGGAAAUGAUGUAAUGGAUUUUGAGUUUUGAACACUUGAAAUGAAUGGCAUUUGGAUGAAUUUUGGUGAAACAUAUUUGGUUGUAAUUUGUAAUGAACACUUUGUAAUAAACCAAAUGGAUCUUUUUUCUUGUGUGUA